RNAcentral lists this ribosomal RNA (451 nucleotides) under uncultured bacterium. RNAcentral's name for it is "partial 16S ribosomal RNA". It matches the Rfam family "Bacterial small subunit ribosomal RNA", at positions 29 to 523 of the family's 1533-position model. The record is from RNAcentral.
AACGAACGCUGGCGGCAUGCCUAACACAUGCAAGUCGAACGCGUGGAGCGAUCCACGAGUGGCGCACGGGUGAGUAACGCGUGGGAACCUGCCCUGGAGUGUGGGAUAACCCGGCGAAAGCCGGGCUAAUACCGCAUACGACCUGAGGGUGAAAGAUUUAUCGCUCUAGGAGGGGCCCGCGUCGGAUUAGCUAGUUGGUGAGGUAAUGGCUCACCAAGGCGAUGAUCCGUAGCUGGUCUGAGAGGAUGAUCAGCCACACUGGGACUGAGACACGGCCCAGACUCCUACGGGAGGCAGCAGUGGGGAAUAUUGGACAAUGGGGGCAACCCUGAUCCAGCAAUGCCGCGUGGGCGAUGAAGGCCUUCGGGUUGUAAAGCCCUUUUGCACGCGACGAUGAUGACGGUAGCGUGAGAAGAAGCCCCGGCUAACUUCGUGCCAGCCGCCGCCGUAA